UCAAGUGAAGAAGCGCAUACGGUGGAUGCCUUGGCAGUCAGAGGCGAUGAAAGACGUGGUAGCCUGCGAAAAGCUUCGGGGAGUCGGCAAACAGACUUUGAUCCGGAGAUCUCUGAAUGGGGGAACCCACCUAGGAUAACCUAGGUAUCUUGUACUGAAUCCAUAGGUGCAAGAGGCGAACCAGGGGAACUGAAACAUCUAAGUACCCUGAGGAAAAGAAAUCAACCGAGAUUCCCUUAGUAGUGGCGAGCGAACGGGGAUUAGCCCUUAAGCUUCAUUGAUUUUAGCGGAACGCUCUGGAAAGUGCGGCCAUAGUGGGUGAUAGCCCCGUACGCGAAAGGAUCUUUGAAGUGAAAUCGAGUAGGACGGAGCACGAGAAACUUUGUCUGAACAUGGGGGGACCAUCCUCCAAGGCUAAAUACUACUGACUGACCGAUAGUGAACCAGUACCGUGAGGGAAAGGCGAAAAGAACCCCGGAGAGGGGAGUGAAAUAGAACCUGAAACCGUAUGCGUACAAGCAGUGGGAGCCUACUUGUUAGGUGACUGCGUACCUUUUGUAUAAUGGGUCAGCGACUUAUAUUCAGUGGCAAGCUUAACCGUAUAGGGUAGGCGUAGCGAAAGCGAGUCUUAAUAGGGCGUUUAGUCGCUGGGUAUAGACCCGAAACCGGGCGAUCUAUCCAUGAGCAGGUUGAAGGUUAGGUAACACUGACUGGAGGACCGAACCCACUCCCGUUGAAAAGGUAGGGGAUGACUUGUGGAUCGGAGUGAAAGGCUAAUCAAGCUCGGAGAUAGCUGGUUCUCCUCGAAAGCUAUUUAGGUAGCGCCUCAUGUAUCACUCUGGGGGGUAGAGCACUGUUUCGGCUAGGGGGUCAUCCCGACUUACCAAACCGAUGCAAACUCCGAAUACCCAGAAGUGCCGAGCAUGGGAGACACACGGCGGGUGCUAACGUCCGUCGUGAAAAGGGAAACAACCCAGACCGCCAGCUAAGGUCCCAAAGUUGUGGUUAAGUGGUAAACGAUGUGGGAAGGCUUAGACAGCUAGGAGGUUGGCUUAGAAGCAGCCAUCCUUUAAAGAAAGCGUAAUAGCUCACUAGUCGAGUCGGCCUGCGCGGAAGAUGUAACGGGGCUCAAACCACACACCGAAGCUGCGGGUGUCACGUAAGUGACGCGGUAGAGGAGCGUUCUGUAAGCCUGUGAAGGUGAGUUGAGAAGCUUGCUGGAGGUAUCAGAAGUGCGAAUGCUGACAUGAGUAACGACAAUGGGUGUGAAAAACACCCACGCCGAAAGACCAAGGGUUCCUGCGCAACGUUAAUCGACGCAGGGUUAGUCGGUUCCUAAGGCGAGGCUGAAAAGCGUAGUCGAUGGGAAACAGGUUAAUAUUCCUGUACUUCUGGUUACUGCGAUGGAGGGACGGAGAAGGCUAGGCCAGCUUGGCGUUGGUUGUCCAAGUUUAAGGUGGUAGGCUGAAAUCUUAGGUAAAUCCGGGGUUUCAAGGCCGAGAGCUGAUGACGAGUCGUCUUUUAGAUGACGAAGUGGUUGAUGCCAUGCUUCCAAGAAAAGCUUCUAAGCUUCAGGUAACCAGGAACCGUACCCCAAACCGACACAGGUGGUCGGGUAGAGAAUACCAAGGCGCUUGAGAGAACUCGGGUGAAGGAACUAGGCAAAAUGGCACCGUAACUUCGGGAGAAGGUGCGCCGGCUAGGGUGAAGGAUUUACUCCGUAAGCUCUGGCUGGUCGAAGAUACCAGGCCGCUGCGACUGUUUAUUAAAAACACAGCACUCUGCAAACACGAAAGUGGACGUAUAGGGUGUGACGCCUGCCCGGUGCCGGAAGGUUAAUUGAUGGGGUUAGCGCAAGCGAAGCUCUUGAUCGAAGCCCCGGUAAACGGCGGCCGUAACUAUAACGGUCCUAAGGUAGCGAAAUUCCUUGUCGGGUAAGUUCCGACCUGCACGAAUGGCGUAACGAUGGCGGCGCUGUCUCCACCCGAGACUCAGUGAAAUUGAAAUCGCUGUGAAGAUGCAGUGUAUCCGCGGCUAGACGGAAAGACCCCGUGAACCUUUACUGUAGCUUUGCACUGGACUUUGAGCCUGCUUGUGUAGGAUAGGUGGGAGGCUUUGAAGCGUGGACGCCAGUUCGCGUGGAGCCAUCCUUGAAAUACCACCCUGGCAUGCUUGAGGUUCUAACUCUGGUCCGUAUCCGGAUCGAGGACAGUGUAUGGUGGGCAGUUUGACUGGGGCGGUCUCCUCCUAAAGAGUAACGGAGGAGUACGAAGGUGCGCUCAGACCGGUCGGAAAUCGGUCGCAGAGUAUAAAGGCAAAAGCGCGCUUGACUGCGAGACAGACACGUCGAGCAGGUACGAAAGUAGGUCUUAGUGAUCCGGUGGUUCUGUAUGGAAGGGCCAUCGCUCAACGGAUAAAAGGUACUCCGGGGAUAACAGGCUGAUACCGCCCAAGAGUUCAUAUCGACGGCGGUGUUUGGCACCUCGAUGUCGGCUCAUCACAUCCUGGGGCUGAAGCCGGUCCCAAGGGUAUGGCUGUUCGCCAUUUAAAGUGGUACGCGAGCUGGGUUUAGAACGUCGUGAGACAGUUCGGUCCCUAUCUGCCGUGGACGUUUGAGAUUUGAGAGGGGCUGCUCCUAGUACGAGAGGACCGGAGUGGACGAACCUCUGGUGUUCCGGUUGUCACGCCAGUGGCAUUGCCGGGUAGCUAUGUUCGGAAAAGAUAACCGCUGAAAGCAUCUAAGCGGGAAACUUGCCUCAAGAUGAGAUCUCACUGGGAACUUGAUUCCCCUGAAGGGCCGUCGAAGACUACGACGUUGAUAGGCUGGGUGUGUAAGCGUUGUGAGGCGUUGAGCUAACCAGUACUAAUUGCCCGUGAGGCUUGACC
Molecule: ribosomal RNA, 2886 nt
Filed under: Pseudomonas aeruginosa
Lineage: Bacteria; Pseudomonadati; Pseudomonadota; Gammaproteobacteria; Pseudomonadales; Pseudomonadaceae
Description: bacterial LSU rRNA
Rfam family: Bacterial large subunit ribosomal RNA
Source: RNAcentral